This 50-nucleotide ribosomal RNA is filed under the name Ganoderma resinaceum. Its description in RNAcentral is "5.8S ribosomal RNA". Lineage: Eukaryota; Fungi; Basidiomycota; Agaricomycetes; Polyporales; Polyporaceae. The record is from RNAcentral.
GUAACGCAUCUAUAUACAACUUUCAGCAACGGAUCUCUUGGCUCUCGCAU